GUAGGUGAACCUGCGGAAGGAUCAUUAACUAAUUCCAACAUUCGUGUUGUAUAGGAGGGGGGGGGCGUGAGUGAGGUGGGAGAGGGGAUUCCAUUCUUUCCUCCCUCUCUACUCUCCUUCUCCUAUACGUGUGUGUCAUGUCUAUAUCUAUAUAGAUAGAUAUCUAUCUAUGUUUUAUAACACGACACAAACAGCACACUCAUUCUUGCUCUUACAUUUACUUUUACAGACAACUCAUGGGACGACCAAG
This 250-nucleotide unclassified non-coding RNA is filed under the name plant metagenome. RNAcentral's name for it is "partial contains small subunit ribosomal RNA, internal transcribed spacer 1, and 5.8S ribosomal RNA". The record is from RNAcentral.